RNAcentral lists this ribosomal RNA (257 nucleotides) under uncultured bacterium. Its description in RNAcentral is "partial 16S ribosomal RNA". It matches the Rfam family "Bacterial small subunit ribosomal RNA", at positions 524 to 778 of the family's 1533-position model. The record is from RNAcentral.
GACGAACCGUGCGAACGUUGUUCGGAAUCACUGGGCUUAAAGGGCGCGUAGGCGGCCGGGUUGGUCGUGGGUGAAAUCCCCCAGCUUAACUGGGGAAUUGCCUACGAUACUGCCUGGCUCGAGGGAGGAAGGGGCGGCCGGAACUGUCGGUGGAGCGGUGAAAUGCGUUGAGAUCGACAGGAACGCCGGUGGCGAAAAGCGGGCCGCUGGCCCUCUUCUGACGCUGAUGCGCGAAAGCCAGGGGGAGCGAAACGGGG